Molecule: long non-coding RNA, 985 nt
Organism: Carica papaya (papaya)
Lineage: Eukaryota; Viridiplantae; Streptophyta; Magnoliopsida; Brassicales; Caricaceae
Source: RefSeq, a predicted model, not a curated record
UCCCCUACACCAGAAUAGAAUCACCAUUCCCCCUCUCCAGCAUACCCGAUACCCAAACACACCUCUCGGCCACCGCUGCCGAUAGCUUCCCCGCUCUCUCUGAACUCUACACUGUCAAAUUGUUGGAUAACCGGUCUCCUUCCCCGUCGCUAAAUUUCUGCGAGAAGCUACAGGCAUCAUCUCAUCAUAAGUAACAAGCCUGAGAUGGCGUUCCUCUCUCAGAAGCUUGUAGGAUUUUGUGGUUUUUGGUCCUCUCAGCUGUUCAAUGCUCCCAUUGCUCUUCAUCCUUGAGAUUCCACAUGAAAGCCUCUUCAGGAAGUAUUUCUUUUUUUUCUUCAUCUGCCUAUGCUACAUAAAAUUUAAAUCCAUUUCAUUAUCUGAUGUCUUCAUAAUUGUGCAUUUCUUUUCAGCAAUGUGAAAGUGCAGAAGUUAGCUUAUCUUUAAGCCACAAUUGUUUAAUAUAUUUUGUUACAGAACUCUAUGUAAUAUUAACUUCUUUCAGUUCAUAAAUGUUUUCCUGACCGGUCAAGUAUGAUCCAUGUUGACUUUAAGUUUUCAGCCGACCUUAACGCAACUGUCUUCGGUGAAGGUCCUGCAGCCACUUCUAUUUUAAAUUCAACCUGAUCAGAUACAUGGAAAACAUCUUAUCAGCUCUUUAACUUCAAGAGACGAAAACAUGAAUACUUACAGAGCUUUUUGCACCCCUGCCCCUGAGUAUCAACGUAAUGGAGAACUGCAAGAAGCGUGAGUGUAUCUCCAGCCCUUAGCGAUAAGCCAUCAAGGGCCCAGGUGAGCGCACUGGGGCAGACUCCUUCAGAUGCAUCUUGAAUCACCACCACUUUCUGUCGAAAAGGACAUUAAAACAAGAAAUUUUCAGAUCAUAACUAAGCUUUUAUGUGUCUAUUCCAAACUAUGUUUGGCAGAUUCACCACGACAGUCCUUGAAUAAAUCAUCCAACACAUUCUUUUCUUUAUUUUUUGUAAGC